AUUGAACGCUGGCGGCAUGCCUUACACAUGCAAGUCGAACGGCAGCGGACCUUCGGGUGCCGGCGAGUGGCGAACGGGUGAGUAAUAUAUCGGAACGUACCUUUCAGUGGGGGAUAACGUAGCGAAAGUUACGCUAAUACCGCAUAUUCUGUGAGCAGGAAAGCAGGGGAUCGCAAGACCUUGCGCUGAUUGAGCGGCCGAUAUCAGAUUAGCUAGUUGGUGAGGUAAAGGACUCACCAAGGCGACGAUCUGUAGCGGGUCGUGAGAGGAUGAUCCGCCACACUGGAACUGAGACACGGUCCAGACUCCUACGGGAGGCAGCAGUGGGGAAUUUUGGACAAUGGGCGGCAAGCCUGAUCCAGCCAUGCCGCGUGAGUGAAGAAGGCCUCGGUUGUAAG
RNAcentral lists this ribosomal RNA (398 nucleotides) under uncultured bacterium. RNAcentral describes it as "bacterial SSU rRNA". It matches the Rfam family "Bacterial small subunit ribosomal RNA", at positions 30 to 429 of the family's 1533-position model. The record is from RNAcentral.